Carassius auratus (goldfish) is the source of this 387-nucleotide long non-coding RNA. RefSeq lists it as uncharacterized. The transcript is spliced from 5 exons. NCBI's taxonomy places the organism in Eukaryota, Metazoa, Chordata, Actinopteri, Cypriniformes, Cyprinidae. The record is from RefSeq and is a predicted model, not a curated record.
UGAAGGAAAUCACACCGGUGUACUAUGAUGAUGUCAUUACUGAUGGACUGAAGCCAGAUCGUGAGACAGAAGAAACACCGGAGAGCUAUGAUGAUGUCAUGACAAGCGGAUGCAACACUGAUAUAAAAAAAGUGGAUGCACCAGAGAAUUAUGAUGAUGUCAUCAUUAAUAGACCUAGCUCUCAAGAGGUAAAAGAGGGAGUUCAGGAGGAGUAUGAUGAUGUGAUGAGUGUCAGUGAAGAUGUGAAAAACCUGUUGGAUUAUGAUGAUGUGGAGUCAAACAAAGAAGUGGGGCAUUCGGCUCAGUGAUCAUCCAUUGCCUCGGUUCAACAAAUCUGAACAAAGUUUGAAUGAUAUUGUUAUUGAUGUCAAAUCUCAGGUUUUUAUA